CCUGAUUAGCUAGUUGGUGAGGUAAAGGCUCCACCAAGGCGACGAUCAGUAGCUGGUCUGAGAGGAUGAUCAGCCACACUGGAACUGAGACACGGUCCAGACUCCUACGGGAGGCAGCAGUGGGGAAUUCCUGGACAAUGGGGGAAACCCUGAUCCAGCCAUUCCGCGUGAGUGAAGAAGGCCUUCGGGUUGUAAAGCUCUUUCAGGAGGGAAGAAACGGUUGCAGCUAAUACCUGCGACUAAUGACGGUACCUUCAGAAGAAGCACCGGCUAACUACGUGCCAGCAGCCGCGGUAAUACGUAGGGUGCGAGCGUUAAUCGGAAUUACUGGGCGUAAAGCGUGCGCAGGCGGUUUUGUAAGUCAGAUGUGAAAGCCCCGGGCUCAACCUGGGAACU
RNAcentral lists this ribosomal RNA (396 nucleotides) under uncultured bacterium. Its description in RNAcentral is "bacterial SSU rRNA". It matches the Rfam family "Bacterial small subunit ribosomal RNA", at positions 236 to 622 of the family's 1533-position model. The record is from RNAcentral.